GGGAAGGUGGCUCAGUGGUAGAGUGCUUGCCUUGCAUGCAUGAAGCCCUGGGUUCGAUUCCUCAGCACCCCA
Non-coding RNA from Dipodomys ordii (Ord's kangaroo rat), 72 nucleotides. NCBI's taxonomy places the organism in Eukaryota, Metazoa, Chordata, Mammalia, Rodentia, Heteromyidae. The record is from Rfam.